UGUGUAUAAUGCAAACUGUCUGAAUUCAGUUGCUUUCCAACGCUCAAUUUCUUGCAACCCUCUUGGCUUUCUGGCAAAGCAGUCAGGAAUUGUUUUCUUCAGUAUCUCCAGCCUAUUGCUUACACGGGCCACGUCCCCUGAUGACAUGCGGUACUCGGAUCUACCUCUUGUCCACAAUAGCAGCAACUUUUUCAUGACCCCAAGGCAGCUCUGGUGCAUGUAAUCGAUGGGGAAUGAUUUGAUCAUGUCGAUUGGGAGAACAGAGAAAGGCGAAAUCUUCUCCUCGUGAUGGUGUUCUGUUUGCCAACACUCCCUGAAUGAUUGGUCUGUCCUCAAGGUCAGAUUGUCAACAUCUGGAUACGUCAUCCGACCAUCCCAGGAUCCCUUCUGGGUGCAUCUGUCGCACCCAUAGUAGCCGGAGAACUGCUUGACACACUUGACCAUGGCUCUGGCAGGAGCAUCGCAGGUUUGGAUGCAGCAGUGGUGAGGCAGAGGGGGAAAAUACAUGCUGGUGACAAAUUAAUGGAACAAAGAACUGGCCAGAGGGACAGGUUUGAGCUUUUAAAUAAUGGUAGCCCAUCAACAUUUAAGGAGAGGUCCAGUGACUGCAGAUGGUCUGUCACAGCUGCAGGAUAUCUGCUCAGAUGCUUUGAGAGCUGAUCUGCCACACUGAACUGUACACUCUCAACAGCAUCUUUGGUAUCCCUGGUGUCAUAGUUUACUUCCUGGACGAGGAUGCUUUAGCAAUUUCAGCAUUGAACUUGUUCCCAUCCUUUUUGGUCACCUCUCCUGCAUUUGCUGUUUGGAAGUCAUUGCUUGCAUCUGAUUCAGAACCUGCCAUUCUGCAUUUCUGUUUUCAUUCGCUCUGCUUACAUUUUGAACCCUUAGCAAUAAUAAACGUCUUCUAUUUGGACUAUAGUAUAGUGCAUUUCAAGUUUGUUUUUUCUUGAUUGAAUGUGU
Molecule: non-coding RNA, 960 nt
Organism: Pimephales promelas (fathead minnow)
Lineage: Eukaryota; Metazoa; Chordata; Actinopteri; Cypriniformes; Leuciscidae
Source: RefSeq, a predicted model, not a curated record